This 484-nucleotide ribosomal RNA is filed under the name uncultured bacterium. RNAcentral describes it as "partial 16S ribosomal RNA". It matches the Rfam family "Bacterial small subunit ribosomal RNA", at positions 28 to 523 of the family's 1533-position model. The record is from RNAcentral.
GAUGAACGCUGGCGGCGUGCUUAACACAUGCAAGUCGAACGGUGAAGCAGGAGCUUGCUCUUGUGGAUCAGUGGCGAACGGGUGAGUAACACGUGAGCAACCUGCCCCUGACUCUGGGAUAAGCGCUGGAAACGGCGUCUAAUACUGGAUAUGUGAUGUGACCGCAUGGUCUGCAUCUGGAAAGAAUUUCGGUUGGGGAUGGGCUUGCGGCCUAUCAGCUUGUUGGUGAGGUAAUGGCUCACCAAGGCGUCGACGGGUAGCCGGCCUGAGAGGGGGACCGGCCACACUGGGACUGAGACACGGCCCAGACUCCUACGGGAGGCAGCAGUGGGGAAUAUUGCACAAUGGGCGGAAGCCUGAUGCAGCAACGCCGCGUGAGGGAUGACGGCCUUCGGGUUGUAAACCUCUUUUAGCAGGGAAGAAGCGAAAGUGACGGUACCUGCAGAAAAAGCACCGGCUAACUACGUGCCAGCCGCCGCGGUAA